GCAUAUAUAAAUUUAAACAAUAAAAUUAAAGAACCUGUAAAAUUAAUAGAAGUCUUGAUUAUUCCUAGCUUCGAUGCUUGAACUCUCCACCACAAACCGGUUGGAUUUGUUCUUACAAUCUUCGAUCGGACAAGAAAAUAAAAACGAAGGAAUAAAAUACUAUGAUCUAACGUAAGGUUAGAUCCAGUAAAAAUUACACAAUAGUUUCCGGUGUAGAAACUAUUGUGAGAAAAUUAAUUGAAUGCUUCAAAAUUUGCUGGAAAAGAAAAGGAAAUAAAAAUUGCU
This 285-nucleotide long non-coding RNA is filed under the name Lathyrus oleraceus (garden pea). Its description in RNAcentral is "Pisum sativum (pea) long non-coding RNA (PSAT_LNC011991)". Lineage: Eukaryota; Viridiplantae; Streptophyta; Magnoliopsida; Fabales; Fabaceae. The record is from RNAcentral.